Molecule: long non-coding RNA, 1043 nt
Organism: Osmia bicornis bicornis
Lineage: Eukaryota; Metazoa; Arthropoda; Insecta; Hymenoptera; Megachilidae
Exons: 5
Source: RefSeq, a predicted model, not a curated record
CAUUUUUUAACCCAAAAGGCAUUUUGUUAAACUCAUAAUGGCCAUGAGGGGUCGAAAAGGCGGUCUUUGCUUUUGAUUUAGGGUCCAUUGGAAUUUGAUGAAAACCAGAAGCCAAAUCAAGGAUACUAAAAUAUUUUGCUGCUCCAAGUUGAUCCAGUAUAUCAGUAAUAUUAGGAAGUGGAUAGGCGUCACUGAUAGUUUUUUCAUUUAAUUUGCGAUAGUCGAUGACCAUGCGCCAACGUGGUUUGCCUGACGGACUGGAUUUCUUCGGGACCACCCAAACAGGUGGAAAACGGUAUUGCUUAGUAUUUAUAGGAAUCUCAUCUGUUGUGACGAUUGCAUGAUGAAGAACUUUAGUGGAACCUAGUUUUUCUAUUGGCAAAUGGAAUUGAUAAGGGAAUUCAUUGAUAAUCUCCAGGAUGCUAGCACGUUCGACUUCGUUGAGAUCAUUCAGUUCUAAAAGUUCAGCUAUUUGAACCAACCUAUUCUUUAAUUGGGACGGAUAUGAGUGUUUUCGUACGAGGAAACAAUUUAAAAGAGGAUGAUGAGAGAACAAAAAAUUCAUCAUCAAUCUGUAGACUAUUUGGCAUACUAUUUCCAAAUCUUAAUACCGCAUCUUGAUUUUCUAAAAAUGGCAUCCCCAAAAUUCCUGCCUCGGCGAUGGGAAAAACAUCCUGAACAACUUGGAAUUUAACGUUAAUGUCACGAACUUUAAUGCUAACCUCUCCGCAGAUUCAAUUGUGAGCCCGUAUCAAUGAGGAAGUCAGCAGAUCCUCCAUGGAAACAGCUGUGAAUUAAUUUUAUCACCGGAGAAUGCCCAAUGUUUUUUAUUUCGACCUGGGAGCAGGCCCGACGGGUUUGAAGGGAGCAAUCCACGGUUCGUUCCGCGCAACUCCCCGACGUGGAACGCCCUUUGAGUUUAAAUGUCCCUGAUCCCUGAUUUUAUAAGAAGAAACACCUUGAGGCUGAGGAUUUCGUCGUGUUUCCUGAAUUUGAGGACAAUGACUUUGCAGAUGUCCCACUUUAUUACACCGAAAACAUCG